GUAAACUAACUUGCAAAAACAAAGAAAGGCAACAACAACAAAAAAUUGCGAUUUCUCAUUCCAAAGGAAAAUUCAGCAGCUACACAAAAAACGCGAGUGGAACAAGAAACUAGGACGAGGGAAAUAAAACACCUUGAUGUUUUCCUUGAAUAUGGAUUUAACUUCGUUGAAGUGGAGGAGCAGAGACUACUACUGUCUCAUAUGUUCAGUGUCUCUGGACAACGAGAGACUGUAGCCAACGAAAUUACAGCGCCAUUUGGAAACCAAGCAUCUGGUUGGCAAAAAAAAAGAUACUUUUAACAGGGGAUGGAUUGUCAGAAGAGCGUGAUAAGGAAUGUGGCCUGCACACCAGCAAGUGUCCCAUCUCAUCUCCAAGCCGUAAUCUAUUGGGGAAUAGCAGGCUGCCAUUGACAUAGUUAGGACAGUGAUAGCAGACAGCGCAGUGUCAGAUACGUCCAAAGAGCAGCUGAUGUCCCGAUUUAGGGAGUCGGAGUUUGGCAUACAGUUGGAUGAGGCAACAGAUGUGGUGAAGGAGGCCUAUUUUUUAUUUAUUUUUGCUGUUGUGAGGCUCAACGCAAUUCAGGAAAGUGUUUUGUUGUGUAAAUCGAUCAAAAAGGGAGGGCAACUGGGCAUGGAGUUAUUUUUAAAUCCUGAAUGAUUUUUUUCCUUGAGAAUGAUUUGAAGUGGGAUGCCUGCGGUGUUAUCGACACAGAUGGAACCCCCGCUAUUACUGGGUUCGCGGGGAGGAUUAAAAGCAACAACAACAACGACGACUCGUUAUGUGCAGUGGGGAUCACUACAUAAUCCACCGGGAAGCACUUGCCACUCUGGGUAAAAGAAGAAGAGCUGAUAUCAGAUAUCUUUGAAAAGCUGAACUCCCUGAAUCUGUCUCUGCAAUUGUCAGAAGCCAAGGGUUUUUUGAAAUGUUCCAUAAAGAUAGCUCUACCUUUCUUGAAAGUGGCAAACAUCACUUGAGAAUGGGCACAAUACCAUUCUCGCUAGUUUAUUUUUUUAAAUUUAUUUUACCUUUAUUUAACUAGGCAAGAACAAAUUCUUAUUUUCAAUGACGGCCUAGGAACAGUGGGUUAACUGCCUGUUCAGGGGCAGAACGACAGAUUUGUACCUUGUCGGCUCGGGGAUUUGAACUUGCAACCUUUCGGUUACUAGUCCAACACUCUAACCACUAGGCUACCCUGCCGUCCCUACACUCUAACCACUAGGCUACCCUGCCGCUAGUGAACGAUGCCAUUGGCGAUAAUGAGUGAUUACUUGACAACCUUGAAGUCCAGUCUGGAAAAAUACUUCCCAGAGAACAGCUCCCAGGAUUCAGAUCACUCACCCCUUUCUGGUGGACAUCGACAUCUCUCAUCUCCACAUGGAAAUCCAGGAUCAGCUGACCUGUGAACUUCAGUUGCAAAGACAGCGAGUUCUGGUUGAAAGCUGACACAGACUAUGCAGCUCUCACAAGAUAUAGUCAAAUCAGAGCUCUCCUGCCAUUCGAAUCAGCCUACCUGUGUGAGCUUGGCUUCUAAUGUUUUUGUCCGUGUUGAUACAGACCAAGUACAGAUCCAGGCUUGAAGUGGAGGACAACCUUGGAGACUUUCUGUAUCCAAAAUAUCUCAAAUCACCAAACUGUCUAAGCCAUUGAACUCUAGUUUUUUAACAUUAUGAUAAUUGUCCCACCAGUAGUAGUAGUAGUAACACAUGAUAUUAACACCAAUGAGAUAUUUUUGAUAUGAGGAUUUUCCGAAUGAGGACAUACAUGCUCAAAUAUGAGGUCAUCAAUCCAUUAAAAAUGAUUUGCUAAAGUGAUAUGAUUAAUCAUUUUGCUCAAAAUGUCAAGAGUGUGCAAAGCUGUCAUCAAGGCAAAGGGUGACUACUUUGAAGAAUCUAAAAUAUAUGUUGAUUUGUUAAAUACUUCUUAGGUUACAACAUGAUUCCAUGUGUGUUAUUUCACAGUUGAUGUCUUCACUAUUAUUCUUCAAUGUAGAAAACCAUUUAAAAAAAACAACCCUUGAAUGAGUAGGUGUGUCCAAACUUUUGACUGGUACUCGCUAACCACAUCAUGAUAUAUAGCCAUCCGAUGCCUGACUGCACAGUCGAUGAUGUGGCGGGAAACCAUUGGUUGAUACAUGUCGUCGGGUAGGAACUCAACCAGUGGGAGAGGUGUACCAUUUCUCCUUCCAUUUCCCCAGGAUGUACCUGGCUUCCUCGUCCUUUUGGUUCAUCCGAGGAUCGUUAUGAUAUUCAUAACAAAUCAAACUGAAUAAAAAGGAGUUGGGUUUCAAAGGGGGAAAAAAAGAGUUUGUAGACCAUACAGCCAAGUGAAUAAACA
Oncorhynchus tshawytscha (Chinook salmon) is the source of this 2335-nucleotide long non-coding RNA. NCBI's taxonomy places the organism in Eukaryota, Metazoa, Chordata, Actinopteri, Salmoniformes, Salmonidae. The record is from Ensembl.